CAUAUUCUAUUCCCCUGGCCACGGUGAUUGGUUCAGGAGUGUGUACAUAACCUAAAAUGGACCAAUCAGAGUGAAUCUUAGGGUUUUUGCUUGAGUUGCAAGGAGAAGGUGCUGUCCUUCCACAGAACUGGCAGUGCUGAGGAGAUGCUGGUGGCCAUCUUGCCCUUUGGAGGGGACAUCCUCGCUGAGAAUUAGACUUCCCCAAGAAUGUAAGGUCACAAGGGCAGAGACUUUAUCUGCUUUAUUCCUUGUGCCCAAACCCAAUGCCUGAAGAGGAUCUGGCAUACAACAGACUUAAUCACUCAACAGACAUAAUUGACCUGAGAUUCUGCAUUGACAAGAAACCGGGAAUGGAAGGCAGCAUUUGAUGGCCCCUGGAGGACUCCGGUGGGGGAAGCACAGUCAGGAAGAAGACGACUGCCCCUCUCCCCAGUCAGGGCUGCAGACUGAAAGGAAAGGAAAAAGGCACAGCUGCAUGGGACAAUUUAGCCCUUUCAUCAGGAGCUAAGUUCUAAGCUGGCUGGGGGGGAGAGGCCGUAGAAUGACCUCGGUUCCCUCCCUGUCGCUGCCGCCACAGCAUCAUCUGCCCAGUUUUUUCACACUGCCCGAGGCUUUUCACCCCAGGAAGAGGCCCAGGGUGUCCUUGGGUGGCCCUGGAGUCCUGAAAUGGGGCCAUGGGGGAAAGGUGCUGUCUCCACGAGGAAGGAGAUAUUUCAGUGCUGAGAAUCCCAGAGAUGGGGAUAAAUGCAGCUAAGCUGCAACCCUUGUGGGGGUCAUUGCUCGGUGAGCCCUGCUUCCUGUUUCUUGCAGCUCUGCCACUCCAAGGUGAUGUGGGGGAAUUCCACCAGCCCUCUGAGCCCCUCUUACCUUGUCUGUGAAAUGGCUGUCUCCCCAGAGGAAGCUCUGGCAAUUCCAUAAAAAGGCCUAUUCAGGGCCUGUCAUGCCCAACACUCUGAGAUUUUCAGGUAAAUCGAUCCUUGGUCAGGAUAGUGAGUUCAGAUCCUGACUCUGCCAUGGAUAUGCUGUGUGGCAUUGGAGAAGACUGUUGCCCUCUCUGGGCAUCUUUGCAAGGCAGGUGGGAAGAUGGAGGGUGUCUAGGGCAGUCUGUAACUCAGUUACUCUAUUCUUGCACAGCAUGUCAAAGGUACAUGCUAUCAACAGACUUAUCACUGUCAAAGUUGCCUUUGUCACCUGGCCGAGGUAGAGUUUGUCAGGUUUCUCCUCAAUAAAGUUAUUCUUUUCCUCCUUUC
Long non-coding RNA from Hipposideros armiger (great roundleaf bat), 1250 nucleotides. RefSeq lists it as uncharacterized. Lineage: Eukaryota; Metazoa; Chordata; Mammalia; Chiroptera; Hipposideridae. The transcript has 3 exons. The record is from RefSeq and is a predicted model, not a curated record.